GGAAUAUUGGUCAAUGGGCGCAAGCCUGAACCAGCCAUGCCGCGUGCAGGAUGACGGUCCUAUGGAUUGUAAACUGCUUUUGUACGAGAAGAAACAACUCUACGUGUAGAGUCUUGACGGUAUCGUAAGAAUAAGGAUCGGCUAACUCCGUGCCAGCAGCCGCGGUAAUACGGAGGAUCCAAGCGUUAUCCGGAAUCAUUGGGUUUAAAGGGUCCGUAGGCGGUUUAGUAAGUCAGUGGUGAAAGCCCAUCGCUCAACGGUGGAACGGCCAUUGAUACUGCUAAACUUGAAUUAUUAGGAAGUAACUAGAAUAUGUAGUGUAGCGGUGAAAUGCUUAGAGAUUACAUGGAAUACCAAUUGCGAAGGCAGGUUACUACUAAUGGAUUGACGCUGAUGGACGAAAGCGUGGGUAGCGAACAGGAUUAGAUACCCGGG
Molecule: ribosomal RNA, 435 nt
Filed under: uncultured Flavobacterium sp.
Lineage: Bacteria; Pseudomonadati; Bacteroidota; Flavobacteriia; Flavobacteriales; Flavobacteriaceae
Description: bacterial SSU rRNA
Rfam family: Bacterial small subunit ribosomal RNA
Source: RNAcentral